UUGCUCAGAGGAACUUUAAUUUCUACUAUCAUGUACUACCUCUGUUCUGAAAUAGUUGUCGCCAAAGAAAACCAGUUCAAGUUCUGUUACACUACGUUUUUUUGCACUUUUCCGUUUUACCCUCGCGUCGACCACACUCCCCGCCGCUCACUCCUCGCUCUCUCUUCUCCCCGUCGCCUCACUUCUGGCACCUUACCCACCUCGCGAUAACCACCACGUCGCUUACCGUCUCUCCCCAUCCGCCACCAUCUUUCUCCCGCCUCCACUCACACCCUUGUCCACUCGCAUCCUGCUCCACUCACACCCCGCAUAUGAGGUCAAAGCUUGGAGUUUUGCUCCGACAGCGAGCUUCCGGGCGACGGAGGUGCUCGAUCUGCGUGCAUAGCUACUUGAUCUACGGGCGCUUGCUCUCGAUCCGGCGACAGAGGUUGGUCCUAGAUGGCGAUGAGGAUGCCCUGGCCGUCACGACCAAGGAGGCGUGACACUGUGCGGGAGAUGGAGACGAGGCCGUUGCGGUGGUGGGGUUGGACUUCGUGGCCUGAGAUGAGGGGGCCAUUGGCGUCACGGUGGAGGCAGUGUGGCGCCGUAGCGGCCAAGGGCUAGUCUGCCUUUCCUGCCGCUGGAGGGAGACAACAACAGGGGACCGGAGAGGAGGAGGCGCACGCGUCCGGGACGGUGUCCGUUGUGUUCUCUAGCCGUACGUUGACGCUGGUGUCCACUACGCGGAGGGGUGGAGAAGCCCUGGGUGCUCGUCGAAAAGGGCAAUUGGCCGGAUCCGGAGCUCCGGUGCUGGGAGGUGGAGGCACGAGGAGGGCGCCGCGGUGCGUUGGUGUUGUUGUCCAGUGCACGGAAGAGCACAAGCGGUGCAUCGAGCAGCUAAGAUGCGGUCCUAUCCUUAUUUUAGUGCGAGGGACUCGACGGGGAUAGAAACACGUCUCGUCGUUUCGCAAGAA
This is a long non-coding RNA of Hordeum vulgare subsp. vulgare (domesticated barley), 953 nucleotides long. RefSeq lists it as uncharacterized. Lineage: Eukaryota; Viridiplantae; Streptophyta; Magnoliopsida; Poales; Poaceae. The transcript is spliced from 2 exons. The record is from RefSeq and is a predicted model, not a curated record.